UGAAGCUGCAAUGACAGCAGAGUAAGUCUCUUCCUGCCUCAUGUGACCUUGCAGAGCUGAUCUAUUGUGCAGAAGCUGCAUCAGAUGAAGAGGAAAUGGAUGACACCCUUGCCUCUGGAUGGGACAGUGAUCUUUCCUCCAUUAUCCUCCUCCUCCUCCACUUGAUUCCACCUUGAGCCCAAGGCCAUAAAAGACCAGGCGAGGUGUCUGCAUCUCAAGCUGAGAAGCAUCUCGUCAUCUUCAAGAAGAGUGGAACAAGCCUCCAGGAACAUGUUGACCCUAUCAAGAGCAUCACUCAGCCCUAUCUACUUGCCGUCACGAUGAAAAGAAGCACCAUCCAUGAGUUUUUCAUCGUCCUGGACAAACAGGUCAUACCAUGCAAGUCAACCAGUUCUCUUGGAGCUUUUGAUGAACUUCUUCAAGGUACACUACGUAUUUGGUACCAAUUACAAUCACAUGCUUCACAACAACAUUACCAUGCAUUUAAAGUCUUGUUAAAGCCAUUCCAGGCGCUUACGGUGUCUGAUGUUCAAGAGUUUUUCUACUUCAAACCAGUUGAUGUGCAGAUGUCAUAUGGACCAACAGAUUCCUCCCUUUUUGUAGUUCCAUAUUGUCAUUAAAUGCAGCUUUAAACAGUGUGUUUAGUGUCAAAGCAAUGUUGACAGCGUUUUUGUAUUUCUGUAGUGGAGUUGUCCACAUGUUUCCAGGUGUUUACAUAGCAGACAUUUUCUCUGGAGGAUAUUUAAAGUAGCAGGAUGACUCCAGUAAGAUAGCCAAAUAAUCUGGCUGUUGUGAAGUUUUCUUUCUAAACUCCAACUGAAAUACUUGAUAAAAAGUCAGUCAUUGUAUUGAUAGUCACCAUUCAGGAAAUAAACAGUUGUUGACUGGCUGAGGUAAUCCUGCUGUCUUGUAUCCUCCCUGUGUUGUCUGAAAAUACCUUUUUGUUUUUUUGUUAAAAAUGUUUACAUGUUGUGAUGUAACGCAUUGUCAGAAUGCUAUUGCACAUGAAAAAAGAAAAUUGACACUUAUUUUAAAUUGAUUAAA
Labrus bergylta (ballan wrasse) is the source of this 1044-nucleotide long non-coding RNA. RefSeq lists it as uncharacterized. Lineage: Eukaryota; Metazoa; Chordata; Actinopteri; Labriformes; Labridae. The record is from RefSeq and is a predicted model, not a curated record.